AUGAGAGUUUGAUCCUGGCUCAGGACGAACGCUGGCGGCGUGCCUAAUACAUGCAAGUCGAACGCUUCUUUCCUCCCGAGUGCUUGCACUCAAUUGGAAAGAGGAGUGGCGGACGGGUGAGUAACACGUGGGUAACCUACCCAUCAGAGGGGGAUAACACUUGGAAACAGGUGCUAAUACCGCAUAACAGUUUAUGCCGCAUGGCAUAAGAGUGAAAGGCGCUUUCGGGUGUCGCUGAUGGAUGGACCCGCGGUGCAUUAGCUAGUUGGUGAGGUAACGGCUCACCAAGGCCACGAUGCAUAGCCGACCUGAGAGGGUGAUCGGCCACACUGGGACUGAGACACGGCCCAGACUCCUACGGGAGGCAGCAGUAGGGAAUCUUCGGCAAUGGACGAAAGUCUGACCGAGCAACGCCGCGUGAGUGAAGAAGGUUUUCGGAUCGUAAAACUCUGUUGUUAGAGAAGAACAAGGACGUUAGUAACUGAACGUCCCCUGACGGUAUCUAACCAGAAAGCCACGGCUAACUACGUGCCAGCAGCCGCGGUAAUA
Molecule: ribosomal RNA, 549 nt
Filed under: Enterococcus faecalis
Lineage: Bacteria; Bacillati; Bacillota; Bacilli; Lactobacillales; Enterococcaceae
Description: bacterial SSU rRNA
Rfam family: Bacterial small subunit ribosomal RNA
Source: RNAcentral